GAUGAAGAACGCAGCGAAAUGCGAUAAGUAAUGUGAAUUGCAGAAUUCAGUGAAUCAUCGAAUCUUUGAACGCACAUUGCGCCCGCUAGUAUUCUGGCGGGCAUGCCUGUCCGAGCGUCAUUUCAACCCUCAAGCCCCCGGGCUUGGUGUUGGGGAUCGGCGAGCCUCCGCGCCCGCCGUCCCCUAAAUCUAGUGGCGGUCUCGCUGUAGCUUCCUCUGCGUAGUAGCACACCUCGCACUGGGAAACAGCGCGGCCACGCCGUUAAACCCCCAACUUCUGAACGUUUGACCUCGGAUCAGGUAGGAAUACCCGCUGAACUUAAGCAUAUCAAUAAGCGGGGA
This 342-nucleotide unclassified non-coding RNA is filed under the name soil metagenome. Its description in RNAcentral is "partial contains 5.8S ribosomal RNA, internal transcribed spacer 2, and large subunit ribosomal RNA". The stretch from base 1 to 120 matches the Rfam family "5.8S ribosomal RNA", at positions 35 to 154 of the family's 154-position model. The record is from RNAcentral.